AUAAGCGGAGGAAAAGAAACCAACAGGGAUUGCCUUAGUAGCGGGCGAGUGAAGCGGCAAAAGCUCAAAUUUGAAAUCUGGCGCCUUCGGUGUCCGAGUUGUAAUUUGAAGAUUGUAACCUUGGGGUUGGCUCUUGUCUAUGUUUCUUGGAACAGGACGUCACAGAGGGUGAGAAUCCCGUGCGAUGAGAUGCCCAAUUCUAUGUAAGGUGCUUUCGAAGAGUCGAGUUGUUUGGGAAUGCAGCUCUAAGUGGGUGGUAAAUUCCAUCUAAAGCUAAAUAUUGGCGAGAGACCGAUAGCGAACAAGUACAGUGAUGGAAAGAUGAAAAGAACUUUGAAAAGAGAGUGAAAAAGUACGUGAAAUUGUUGAAAGGGAAGGGUUUGAGAUCAGACUCGAUAUUUUGUGAGCCUUGCCUUCGUGGCGGGGUGACCCGCAGCUUAUCGGGCCAGCAUCGGUUUGGGCGGUAGGAUAAUGGCGUAGGAAUGUGACUUUACUUCGGUGAAGUGUUAUAGCCUGCGUUGAUGCUGCCUGCCUAGACCGAGGACUGCGAUUUUAUCAAGGAUGCUGGCAUAAUGAUCCCAAACCGCCCGUCUUAAA
RNAcentral lists this ribosomal RNA (597 nucleotides) under Meyerozyma guilliermondii. RNAcentral's name for it is "eukaryotic LSU rRNA". It matches the Rfam family "Eukaryotic large subunit ribosomal RNA", at positions 46 to 658 of the family's 3401-position model. The record is from RNAcentral. Lineage: Eukaryota; Fungi; Ascomycota; Pichiomycetes; Serinales; Debaryomycetaceae.